CAGGCUCCACAGACAGCCUGGCAUCUUAAGUACAUUUGAGAUAAAACUAACCAUAAUGGUCAUUUGCUAUUUUUGUAACCAUGUUAUCCGUGUUGUCUGAAAUAUGACAUAAAUGAAAGUGGUUUUUCUUCACUGGGAAAAGAAAAGCUAAAGAGACCCAACUAUUUAAAUAUUCGUUGUUGUAGUCAACAUAUUAAAAUAAAAGGCAAAGUCUGAGAAUGUAAACUUAUGAUAAAGCCGUGCCUCGUGGCUCACUAUAGCAGUGUGUUUUGUUCCUGCACAUUAAAAUAUUUUCUUAGUAAAAAUUAUUCACAAUGCCAUAACACUCUGUGUUCCUGUGUUUCUUUGUCAAGCAAGAAGUAUAUGUGAUACAAACUUAGCUUUCUAUUGCUAUGGAAAAAGAAGUUUUACUGAAAAUGGGGUGUAUGUUGUAUGAAAUACAGCUUGAAGGGUGAGUAAAAUUUGGCCCAAAUUUCAGUAUUUGAAAAAUAAUUCCAAUGGAGCUGUUAUUUAUUAAUGAACUGGCAACAAAAGCAUUGUCAAAAUCACUUUCACUAAAUCUUUAACUCUUAGAAUAGCAUAUUUAGAAUUCAUCUUAUACAUACAUAAAAAAUUGCAAAAAAAAAAUUCAAGCAUUCAAGGUUUUAACCACUUACUUGCCAUACAUUGAAAAGGAGGAUGUUGUUCAAAUGUAGAAAGCUGCUCCUGAAAAGCUUUACGAUUUGCAAAAAUGAGACAAUCUAUUAAUCAGAUUAAACACCAACGUGUAGAAGGAAGAAAUUAUCUUAGAAAUGACAUGUGGAUAAGAAACUCAGAUAAAUGUGUUUUUAAAUUAAUUGUUAGUUGUACCUUUACCAUAUUGCCAGGUUCUACACGAAUCCCAAUAAGCAAGCAUGACAACAAAAGUAUUUCUAAUAUACUCUUUUUAGUGAUUUGAGGAUGUUACAAAGUAUUUCAAUCAUAUUUGCCCAACACGCUUUUCCCUAACUCCUUCAACAUCCACUUCUCAAUACUAAAUUCCUUCUCAAUGUCAUGCCAUCUUUUUUAGUGACCAUCAAGUCCAAUUUGUGCUGUCUGUUCAUAUCUUCAAUUAGUGUGAGGCCAUCCCCUGGAAGAUAUAAAUGUGAGUUCAAGGCCAGUCAACAGAGCACGUUCCAGAACAUCCAGAGUUACGUAGUGAGACUUUGUUUUGAAAAAACAAAAAGAAAAAAAAAAAGAAAGAAAGAAAACUGACUCUUAGCAGCCAUCAGCUGUCAGUAGGUCCUCAGCUAAGACUGGGGCCUCAUGAACCCUUCUUCAAAUAGCAAUCGUAUAAUAGAAAAAUUUUAAAUGCUGUCUAUACUAACACCAAAGUUGCUGACAGAACGUAAAGUUUGCUUCAUAGAGCCCAACACAUGACUUCACCCUUUUGUGGAAGAAGGGAAACCAAAGGGAAGAAGCGCUCAAAAGCUUGUCAUGGAAAGAUACUUUUUACUUCACAUAGGAGACUGAUUUUAAAAUUAUGUUUAAUUCAACAUAUAUGCAUAUGGACAUAUACUAUAUAUGUUUGCAUGGGUACAUGUAAGG
RNAcentral lists this long non-coding RNA (1566 nucleotides) under Rattus norvegicus (Norway rat). Its description in RNAcentral is "long non-coding RNA NONRATT012503". The record is from RNAcentral. Lineage: Eukaryota; Metazoa; Chordata; Mammalia; Rodentia; Muridae.